Molecule: non-coding RNA, 134 nt
Organism: Populus trichocarpa (black cottonwood)
Lineage: Eukaryota; Viridiplantae; Streptophyta; Magnoliopsida; Malpighiales; Salicaceae
Source: Rfam
AGACUUGUUUCACUGGUCCAUAAAUACAUUUGUUAUAUCAUCCAUACUUGACUGCUCAAAAUGACCCGUUAUUGUAAGCUCGGAUAUAUUUGUCUCCCACCUCUCUAAAAACUUUGGUACAUUAUGACCUUAAU